RNAcentral lists this long non-coding RNA (200 nucleotides) under Elaeis guineensis (African oil palm). RNAcentral's name for it is "long non-coding RNA (EGUI_LNC057776)". Lineage: Eukaryota; Viridiplantae; Streptophyta; Magnoliopsida; Arecales; Arecaceae. The record is from RNAcentral.
AGAUUAAAAAAGCUAAGCCUAAGUGGACUCGUAAUUAUUUAAUUAGUUCUGUUAGCUUACCUGACCAAUCCAAUUAGUAUCUAAGACAAGCAACGGGGGGACUCCCAUAACCCCACCUUUUAUCUGACUAAUUAAAGGAAGUGAGAACAGACCCAACUUGCAUCUAGAUUGAGCCACUCUACAUCAAACUAUUAGGUCUA